AGGACGAACGCUGGCGGCGUGCCUAACACAUGCAAGUCGAACGAGGUCCAACCAGUGGCAACACUGGGGACGACCUAGUGGCGAACGGGUGAGUAACACGUGAGGAACUUGCCCCGGAGACCGGGAUAACCCUUCGAAAGGAGGGCUAAUACCGGAUGUCCUCCCCGAGCCGCAUGGCUUGGUGAGGAAAUGGAUUCCGCUCCGGGAGAGCCUCGCGGCCUAUCAGCUAGUUGGUGGGUAACGGCCACCAAGGCAUCGACGGGUAGCUGGUCUGAGAGGACGAUCAGCCACACUGGGACUGAGACACGGCCCAGACUCCUACGGGAGGCAGCAGUGGGGAAUCUUGCGCAAUGGGCGAAAGCCUGACGCAGCAACGCCGCGUGCGGGAUGGAAGGCCUUCGGUUGUAAACCGCUUUCAGUGGGACGAACCAAGACGGUACCACAGAAGAACGCCCGCCAACUACGUGCCAGCAAGCCGC
RNAcentral lists this ribosomal RNA (479 nucleotides) under uncultured soil bacterium. Its description in RNAcentral is "bacterial SSU rRNA". It matches the Rfam family "Bacterial small subunit ribosomal RNA", at positions 26 to 518 of the family's 1533-position model. The record is from RNAcentral.